GUUUUGGAGAAAAGAUUAAACUUUUAGACUGUUCUAUCUUUGCUAGAUCAUCAAUUUCUUCAAGACUUCUGGUUGGAGAGACAGGAAUCACCAGGCAUCAACUACCACAAUCAAAUUGAUCUUUCCUUCAGGACCGAUUCUGUGGUGGGUAUUUAUAGAUCAUUGCAAAGAUGAAUGAUUUAAUGACUAGAUCAUUCCUCAAUUACGUAGAGCUCAAGAAACAAGCCAUGAAAGAUCUGGAAUCCGAGCCAGACCUUGAGAUGGGCCAAUUAGAUCCUGAUGAUGAAAA
RNAcentral lists this unclassified non-coding RNA (289 nucleotides) under Hevea brasiliensis (rubber tree). Lineage: Eukaryota; Viridiplantae; Streptophyta; Magnoliopsida; Malpighiales; Euphorbiaceae. The record is from RNAcentral.